RNAcentral lists this ribosomal RNA (300 nucleotides) under uncultured bacterium. RNAcentral's name for it is "bacterial SSU rRNA". It matches the Rfam family "Bacterial small subunit ribosomal RNA", at positions 775 to 1067 of the family's 1533-position model. The record is from RNAcentral.
GGAUUAGAUACCCUGGUAGUCCACGCCCUAAACGAUGAAUACUAGAUGUAGGAUUUAAUUCUGUAUCGUAGCUAACGCAUUAAGUAUUCCGCCUGGGGAGUACGGUCGCAAGGCUGAAACUCAAAGGAAUUGGCGGGGACUCGCACAAGCGGUGGAGCAUGUGGUUUAAUUCGAUGCUAAGCGAAGAACCUUACCAGGGCUUGACAUGUAAGCAUAAGCUUGCGUGAAAGCGUGGAGUGAAUUUGGGCUUGCCCAAAUUGGUUUACACAGGUGCUGCAUGGCUGUCGUCAGCUCGUGCCG